GAGCAACAACAUGUAGUAUACAAAAUAAUACGUUGGUCAAUAAAUGUUACAAAUAAAAAAUAACGCAACCCUUUUAUCGAAAAAGAGGCUUUCAGUUUUUGUGAAGUAAGUUCAGGAUAGUACUAGCGUAGAGUUAAAUUUUUAAGAUAGAUUAUUAAUAGAGUUCAUGCACUUCGGAUUGAUUUAAUAUUGGCCAGGCUUUACGAAUAAGGUUCGUCAGAAUCAAUUCUGUUCCGCUUCUGAUUUUUCCGUUGUUGUAGUAUCGGACGAUUCCAUGGGUAGAAAUCACUAGGUUGCGUUGAAUUAAUGAAUGGACUUUUAUCUGCAUCGAUAUUUUGAGUGUUUCUGUUCUUCGUUUCUUUGUUAUCCGUGUGUAUUAGUUCACUGUCAUCGCUUGGUUCGUAUAAUUCCCCUUCUAUGAACAGCUUAUCUCUAAUCAAUAUAGCUUUCUUUCGGUCUUUCUUUGCCUGCUUUAAUAUAGGAUAUAGUUUUUUCCUCUUCUUUUCGAUUUUUACCGGAAAUUGUUCCCUGACAGAAAUAUGUGUCCCCUUUAAUUUGUGACAGUUCCUCAUAACUAAUUGUUUAUCUUUCAAAGAUACAAAUUUAGUCAUUAUUCUUUGAAUAUUUUGUCUUUGUUUUCCAAAACGAUGUACAGAAACGAAAUUGACAUUUUCCCCUAUUCCCAGGUUUUUGCGGAUAAAAUUUCUUACAAUGUUUUCUGUAUUCUCAUUUGGCUCCUGUUUUAUUCCGGAUAUUACGAUAUUGUUAGUCAUUGAUCUCCAUUGUAACUCAUCGACAUCGAUUUCAAUAUUUAUCAAUCGCUCAUUGACGCAUUUCAUAUCGAAUGUGUUUUCUUUAACAUUUUCUGCUUCCUCUAACAAUGAUAUUUUAGACAUAUUUUCUUUGCAGCGAUCUAUAAUUUUAUGCACAACCGUACCCAUUUGUUCUCCCUUUUCUUCGAUCAUUUUAUUUCGGUUAAACACAAUUUCGCACUUCUGUUCUACGUUUUCUAUUCGUGUUACCAUUAAAUCUAAUUUUUGCUCAAGUUGCGAUAUCCUAGUAACUUCGCGCUCAAGCUUUCCGCAUUGUGUCUGGAGGUCUGCCACGACAGCAAGUACAGAGUUCAAUAUAGAUAUAGUUUUGGUAUCGAAUUCUUUGUAGUCCGACAUUAUGAUUCAAAAUACAUUAUAAUAAAAAUAUUGUUUUUGCAAUUGAAUGCUGAAAGAACAAUGGAGAACAAUCAAUCGCCACUAACAACCCGACGACGUUAGCAACGUAAGCAAUGCUCUUGUAGUGAUAAAAAUAUUCUUCAUUUAUGUUGAGAAAUCUGUAAAGUUGUAGAGAUAUAAAUUUUACCGUUCAAAUAAAAUCCUUGGAAUCUGCGACUUUAGUCCAUUUGAUAAGUUUACAUGCUAGCCUAGAUCCUGAUAAUUUGAGUUUUUGCAGGAGCAAAAAAAAGCAUGACUGCCUGCUAGUACAUCCGGG
This 1485-nucleotide long non-coding RNA is filed under the name Mytilus galloprovincialis (Mediterranean mussel). Lineage: Eukaryota; Metazoa; Mollusca; Bivalvia; Mytilida; Mytilidae. The record is from RNAcentral.